This 517-nucleotide ribosomal RNA is filed under the name uncultured bacterium. RNAcentral's name for it is "bacterial SSU rRNA". It matches the Rfam family "Bacterial small subunit ribosomal RNA", at positions 992 to 1509 of the family's 1533-position model. The record is from RNAcentral.
AGAACUUAGCAGAGAUGCUUUGGUGCCUUCGGGAACUCUGAGACAGGUGCUGCAUGGCUGUCGUCAGCUCGUGUUGUGAAAUGUUGGGUUAAGUCCCGCAACGAGCGCAACCCUUAUCCUUUGUUGCCAGCGGUUAGGCCGGGAACUCAAAGGAGACUGCCAGUGAUAAACUGGAGGAAGGUGGGAAUGACGUCAAGUCAUCAUGGCCCUUACGAGUAGGGCUACACACGUGCUACAAUGGCGCAUACAAAGAGAAGCGACCUCGCGAGAGCAAGCGGACCUCAUAAAGUGCGUCGUAGUCCGGAUUGGAGUCUGCAACUCGACUCCAUGAAGUCGGAAUCGCUAGUAAUCGUGGAUCAGAAUGCCACGGUGAAUACGUUCCCGGGCCUUGUACACACCGCCCGUCACACCAUGGGAGUGGGUUGCAAAAGAAGUAGGUAGCUUAACCUUCGGGAGGGCGCUUACCACUUUGUGAUUCAUGACUGGGGUGAAGUCGUAACAAGGUAGGCGUAGAUGA